AUAUUGGACAAUGGGCGAAAGCCUGAUCCAGCCAUGCCGCGUGUGUGAAGAAGGUCUUCGGAUUGUAAAGCACCUUAAGUUGGGAGGAAGGGCUUUAGGUUAAUACCCUGAAGUUUUGACGUUACCAACAGAAUAAGCACCGGCUAACUCUGUGCCAGCAGCCGCGGUAAUACAGAGGGUGCAAGGGUUAAUCGGAAUUACUGGGCGUAAAGCGGGCGUAGGGGGUCAAGUAAGAUGGGUGGGAAAUCCCCGGCCUUAACCUGGGAACUGUUUUAUAAACUGCGGGGCUGGAGAACGGUAGAGGUUAGUGGAAUUUCUGGUGUGGCGGUGAAAGGGGUAGAUAUAGGAAGGAAAACCAGGGGCGAAGGCGACUACCUGGACUAAUCCUGACACGGAGGGGCGAAAGGGGGGGGGCAAAC
RNAcentral lists this ribosomal RNA (419 nucleotides) under uncultured bacterium. RNAcentral describes it as "partial 16S ribosomal RNA". It matches the Rfam family "Bacterial small subunit ribosomal RNA", at positions 361 to 773 of the family's 1533-position model. The record is from RNAcentral.